AUUGAACGCUGGCGGCAGGCUUAACACAUGCAAGUCGAGCGGGGAAGAGUAGCUUGCUACUUGACCUAGCGGCGGACGGGUGAGUAAUGCUUAGGAAUCUGCCUAUUAGUGGGGGACAACAUCUCGAAAGGGAUGCUAAUACCGCAUACGUCCUACGGGAGAAAGCAGGGGACCUUCGGGCCUUGCGCUAAUAGAUGAGCCUAAGUCGGAUUAGCUAGUUGGUGGGGUAAAGGCCUACCAAGGCGACGAUCUGUAGCGGGUCUGAGAGGAUGAUCCGCCACACUGGGACUGAGACACGGCCCAGACUCCUACGGGAGGCAGCAGUGGGGAAUAUUGGACAAUGGGGGGAACCCUGAUCCAGCCAUGCCGCGUGUGGGAAGAAGGCCUUUUGGUUGUAAAGCACUUUAAGCGAGGAGGAGGCUACCGAGAUUAAUACUCUUGGAUAGUGGACGUUACUCGCAGAAUAAGCACCGGCUAACUCUGUG
RNAcentral lists this ribosomal RNA (485 nucleotides) under uncultured bacterium. RNAcentral describes it as "partial 16S ribosomal RNA". It matches the Rfam family "Bacterial small subunit ribosomal RNA", at positions 30 to 507 of the family's 1533-position model. The record is from RNAcentral.